CAGUCGCCGCGGGAACACGUAGGGUGCAAGCGUUAAUCGGAAUUACUGGGCGUAAAGCGUGCGCAGGCGGUUAUAUAAGACAGAUGUGAAAUCCCCGGGCUCAACCUGGGAACUGCAUUUGUGACUGUAUAGCUAGAGUACGGCAGAGGGGGAUGGAAUUCCGCGUGUAGCAGUGAAAUGCGUAGAUAUGCGGAGGAACACCGAUGGCGAAGGCAAUCCCCUGGGCCUGUACUGACGCUCAUGCACGAAAGCGUGGGGAGCAAACAGGAUUAGAUACCCCCGUAGUCCCUGUCUCUUAUAA
This 301-nucleotide ribosomal RNA is filed under the name uncultured bacterium. RNAcentral's name for it is "partial 16S ribosomal RNA". It matches the Rfam family "Bacterial small subunit ribosomal RNA", at positions 509 to 809 of the family's 1533-position model. The record is from RNAcentral.